AUAGCGUAUAUUAAAGUUGUUGCGGUUAAAAAGCUCGUAGUUGAAUCUGUGUCCCACGCUGUCGGUUCACCGCUCGCGGUGUUUAACUGGCAUGACUGUGGGACGUCCUACCGGUGGGCUUAGCCUCUCGGGGCGGCCCAACUAAUAUCCCAUCGCGGUGCUCUUUACUGAGUGUCGAGGUGGGCCGGUACGUUUACUUUGAACAAAUUAGAGUGCUUAAAGCAGGCUAUCUUCGCCUGAAUACUGUGUGCAUGGAAUAAUGGAAUAGGACCUCGGUUCUAUUUUGUUGGUUUUCGGAACCCCGAGGUAAUGAUUAAUAGGGACAGAUGGGGGCAUUCGUAUUGCGACGUUAGAGGUGAAAUUCUUGGAUCGUCGCAAGACGGACAGAAGCGAAAGCAUUUGCCAAAAAUGUUUUCUUUAAUCAAGAACGAAAGUUAGAGGUUCGAAGGCGAUCAGAUACCGCCCUAGUUCUAACCAUAAACGAUGCCAGCUAGCGAUCCGCCGACGUUCCUCCGAUGACUCGGCGGGCAGCUUCCGGGAAACCAAAGCUUUUGGGUUCCGGGGGAAGUAUGGUUGCAAAGCUGAAACUUAAAGGAAUUGACGGAAGGGCACCACCAGGAGUGGAGCCUGCGGCUUAAUUUGACUCAACACGGGAAACCUCACCAGGCCCGGACACCGGAAGGAUUGACAGAUUGAUAGCUCUUUCUUGAUUCGGUGGGUGGUGGUGCAUGGCCGUUCUUAGUUGGUGGAGCGAUUUGUCUGGUUAAUUCCGAUAACGAACGAGACUCUAGCCUGCUAAAUAGGCGUACUUUCCGGUAUCUCGAAGGCCCCCGGCUUCGGUCGGGUGGUUUUUACUACCGGCGUACAAAUAAAUCUUCUUAGAGGGACAGGCGGCUUCUAGCCGCACGAGAU
This 912-nucleotide ribosomal RNA is filed under the name Pamphilius hortorum. RNAcentral describes it as "SSU rRNA". It matches the Rfam family "Eukaryotic small subunit ribosomal RNA", at positions 594 to 1444 of the family's 1831-position model. The record is from RNAcentral. Lineage: Eukaryota; Metazoa; Arthropoda; Insecta; Hymenoptera; Pamphiliidae.